AGCGUACACGGUGGAUGCCCUGGCAGUCAGAGGCGAUGAAGGACGUGCUAAUCUGCGAUAAGCGUCGGUAAGGUGAUAUGAACCGUUAUAACCGGCGAUUUCCGAAUGGGGAAACCCAGUGUGAUUCGUCACACUAUCAUUAACUGAAUCCAUAGGUUAAUGAGGCGAACCGGGGGAACUGAAACAUCUAAGUACCCCGAGGAAAAGAAAUCAACCGAGAUUCCCCCAGUAGCGGCGAGCGAACGGGGAGCAGCCCAGAGCCUGAAUCAGUGUGUGUGUUAGUGGAAGCGUCUGGAAAGGCGCGCGAUACAGGGUGACAGCCCCGUACACAAAAAUGCACAUACUGUGAGCUCGAUGAGUAGGGCGGGACACGUGGUAUCCUGUCUGAAUAUGGGGGGACCAUCCUCCAAGGCUAAAUACUCCUGACUGACCGAUAGUGAACCAGUACCGUGAGGGAAAGGCGAAAAGAACCCCGGCGAGGGGAGUGAAAAAGAACCUGAAACCGUGUACGUACAAGCAGUGGGAGCACAGAGCAAUCUGUGUGACUGCGUACCUUUUGUAUAAUGGGUCAGCGACUUAUAUUCUGUAGCAAGGUUAACCGAAUAGGGGAGCCGAAGGGAAACCGAGUCUUAACUGGGCGUUAAGUUGCAGGGUAUAGACCCGAAACCCGGUGAUCUAGCCAUGGGCAGGUUGAAGGUUGGGUAACACUAACUGGAGGACCGAACCGACUAAUGUUGAAAAAUUAGCGGAUGACUUGUGGCUGGGGGUGAAAGGCCAAUCAAACCGGGAGAUAGCUGGUUCUCCCCGAAAGCUAUUUAGGUAGCGCCUCGUGAAUUCAUCUCCGGGGGUAGAGCACUGUUUCGGCAAGGGGGUCAUCCCGACUUACCAACCCGAUGCAAACUGCGAAUACCGGAGAAUGUUAUCACGGGAGACACACGGCGGGUGCUAACGUCCGUCGUGAAGAGGGAAACAACCCAGACCGCCAGCUAAGGUCCCAAAGUCAUGGUUAAGUGGGAAACGAUGUGGGAAGGCCCAGACAGCCAGGAUGUUGGCUUAGAAGCAGCCAUCAUUUAAAGAAAGCGUAAUAGCUCACUGGUCGAGUCGGCCUGCGCGGAAGAUGUAACGGGGCUAAACCAUGCACCGAAGCUGCGGCAGCGACGCUUAUGCGUUGUUGGGUAGGGGAGCGUUCUGUAAGCCUGCGAAGGUGUGCUGUGAGGCAUGCUGGAGGUAUCAGAAGUGCGAAUGCUGACAUAAGUAACGAUAAAGCGGGUGAAAAGCCCGCUCGCCGGAAGACCAAGGGUUCCUGUCCAACGUUAAUCGGGGCAGGGUGAGUCGACCCCUAAGGCGAGGCCGAAAGGCGUAGUCGAUGGGAAACAGGUUAAUAUUCCUGUACUUGGUGUUACUGCGAAGGGGGGACGGAGAAGGCUAUGUUGGCCGGGCGACGGUUGUCCCGGUUUAAGCGUGUAGGCUGGUUUUCCAGGCAAAUCCGGAAAAUCAAGGCUGAGGCGUGAUGACGAGGCACUACGGUGCUGAAGCAACAAAUGCCCUGCUUCCAGGAAAAGCCUCUAAGCAUCAGGUAACAUCAAAUCGUACCCCAAACCGACACAGGUGGUCAGGUAGAGAAUACCAAGGCGCUUGAGAGAACUCGGGUGAAGGAACUAGGCAAAAUGGUGCCGUAACUUCGGGAGAAGGCACGCUGAUAUGUAGGUGAAGUCCCUCGCGGAUGGAGCUGAAAUCAGUCGAAGAUACCAGCUGGCUGCAACUGUUUAUUAAAAACACAGCACUGUGCAAACACGAAAGUGGACGUAUACGGUGUGACGCCUGCCCGGUGCCGGAAGGUUAAUUGAUGGGGUUAGCGCAAGCGAAGCUCUUGAUCGAAGCCCCGGUAAACGGCGGCCGUAACUAUAACGGUCCUAAGGUAGCGAAAUUCCUUGUCGGGUAAGUUCCGACCUGCACGAAUGGCGUAAUGAUGGCCAGGCUGUCUCCACCCGAGACUCAGUGAAAUUGAACUCGCUGUGAAGAUGCAGUGUACCCGCGGCAAGACGGAAAGACCCCGUGAACCUUUACUAUAGCUUGACACUGAACAUUGAGCCUUGAUGUGUAGGAUAGGUGGGAGGCUUUGAAGUGUGGACGCCAGUCUGCAUGGAGCCGACCUUGAAAUACCACCCUUUAAUGUUUGAUGUUCUAACGUUGACCCGUAAUCCGGGUUGCGGACAGUGUCUGGUGGGUAGUUUGACUGGGGCGGUCUCCUCCUAAAGAGUAACGGAGGAGCACGAAGGUUGGCUAAUCCUGGUCGGACAUCAGGAGGUUAGUGCAAUGGCAUAAGCCAGCUUGACUGCGAGCGUGACGGCGCGAGCAGGUGCGAAAGCAGGUCAUAGUGAUCCGGUGGUUCUGAAUGGAAGGGCCAUCGCUCAACGGAUAAAAGGUACUCCGGGGAUAACAGGCUGAUACCGCCCAAGAGUUCAUAUCGACGGCGGUGUUUGGCACCUCGAUGUCGGCUCAUCACAUCCUGGGGCUGAAGUAGGUCCCAAGGGUAUGGCUGUUCGCCAUUUAAAGUGGUACGCGAGCUGGGUUUAGAACGUCGUGAGACAGUUCGGUCCCUAUCUGCCGUGGGCGCUGGAGAAUUGAGGGGGGCUGCUCCUAGUACGAGAGGACCGGAGUGGACGCAUCACUGGUGUUCGGGUUGUCAUGCCAAUGGCACUGCCCGGUAGCUAAAUGCGGAAGAGAUAAGUGCUGAAAGCAUCUAAGCACGAAACUUGCCCCGAGAUGAGUUCU
This 2775-nucleotide ribosomal RNA is filed under the name Escherichia coli. RNAcentral's name for it is "bacterial LSU rRNA". It matches the Rfam family "Bacterial large subunit ribosomal RNA". Lineage: Bacteria; Pseudomonadati; Pseudomonadota; Gammaproteobacteria; Enterobacterales; Enterobacteriaceae. The record is from RNAcentral.